This is a long non-coding RNA of Mya arenaria, 324 nucleotides long. RefSeq lists it as uncharacterized. The record is from RefSeq and is a predicted model, not a curated record. Lineage: Eukaryota; Metazoa; Mollusca; Bivalvia; Myida; Myidae. The transcript has 3 exons.
AAAAUAUCUUCGGCGAUUCCUUUUACACUUCUUCAUGUGAACUUCAGCAUACCUGUGGACUUCAUCAAGAACCAGGAAUAAUUGGCAAACGAGAGACCGAGAACGCCCGUUCAAGUGAAAACCUGCACGUAUGCGAUGCUUGCUGCUCCACAGAUCUUUGUAACAUAGAUUGUCAAACAGCUAUGCAACGUAUCAAUGGACAAUGGGCUGAGUGGUCUUCUUGGGGAUCGUGCUCGCUGACCUGCGGUGACGGCGUGCAAUCCAGACACCGAACAUGUACAAAUCCCUCACCGACAAAUGGCGGAGUCAUGUGCCCAGGAGAAG